Molecule: unclassified non-coding RNA, 360 nt
Filed under: uncultured Sphingobacteriales bacterium
Lineage: Bacteria; Pseudomonadati; Bacteroidota; Sphingobacteriia; Sphingobacteriales
Description: contains 16S-23S intergenic spacer region
Source: RNAcentral
UCCGUAGCAACGCCACGGCAGUCUCCGGUGACACAGGUAACACCGGACAAGGGUUGCGCUCGUUGCGGGACUUAACCCAACACCUCACGGCACGAGCUGACGACAGCCAUGCAGCACCUAGUUUCGUGCCCUUGCGGGAAGGCUGAUUUCUCAGCCGGUCACUAACUUUCAAGCCCGGGUAAGGUUCCUCGCGUAUCAUCGAAUUAAACCACAUGCUCCUCCGCUUGUGCGGGCCCCCGUCAAUUCCUUUGAGUUUCAAUCUUGCGACCGUACUCCCCAGGUGGAUUACUUAAUGCUUUCGCUUAGACGCGUACUGUAUAUCGCACACAUCGAGUAAUCAUCGUUUAGGGCGUGGACUAC